This 62-nucleotide transfer RNA is filed under the name Pareronia hippia. RNAcentral's name for it is "tRNA-Cys". Lineage: Eukaryota; Metazoa; Arthropoda; Insecta; Lepidoptera; Pieridae. The record is from RNAcentral.
AGUCUUAUAUUCAUAAAUGAUAUAAAAUUGCAAAUUUUAAGGUGUAGUAUAUACUAAGGCUU